GUCUCUGUAGUAUAUGGCAUUACCUCGGUCUUGUAAACCGAAAAAGGAAGCAACACACCUCCCUGAGACU
RNAcentral lists this transfer RNA (70 nucleotides) under Hexaprotodon liberiensis (pygmy hippopotamus). RNAcentral's name for it is "tRNA-Thr". The record is from RNAcentral. Lineage: Eukaryota; Metazoa; Chordata; Mammalia; Artiodactyla; Hippopotamidae.